This 253-nucleotide ribosomal RNA is filed under the name uncultured bacterium. RNAcentral's name for it is "partial 16S ribosomal RNA". It matches the Rfam family "Bacterial small subunit ribosomal RNA", at positions 524 to 776 of the family's 1533-position model. The record is from RNAcentral.
UACGUAGGGGGCGAGCGUUGUCCGGAUUUAUUGGGCGUAAAGAGCGUGUAGGCGGCCAGGUAGGUCUGCUGUGAAAACUCGAGGCUCAACCUCGAGACGUCGGCGGAAACCAUCUGGCUAGAGUCCGGAAGAGGAGAGUGGAAUUCCUGGUGUAGCGGUGAAAUGCGUAGAUAUCUGGAGGAACACCGGUGGCGAAGGCGGCAUCCUGGACCAAUAUUGACGCUGAGGAGCGAAAGCUAGGGGAGCAAACGGG